AACGAACGCUGGCGGCAGGCCUAACACAUGCAAGUCGAACGCCCCGCAAGGGAGUGGCAGACGGGUGAGUAACACGUGGGAACAUACCCUUCGGUUCGGAAUAACUCAGGGAAACUUGAGCUAAGACCGGAUACGUCCGCGAGGAGAAAGAUUCAUCGCCGGAGGAUUGGCCCGCGUCCGAUUAGCUAGUUGGUGAGGUAACGGCUCACCAAGGCGACGAUCGGUAGCUGGUCUGAGAGGAUGAUCAGCCACAUUGGGACUGAGACACGGCCCAAACUCCUACGGGAGGCAGCAGUGGGGAAUAUUGGACAAUGGGCGAAAGCCUGAUCCAGCCAUGCCGCGUGAGUGAUGAAGGCCCUAGGUUGUAAAGCUCUUUCGUCAGGGACGAUAAUGACGGUACCUGAAGAAGAAGCCCCGGCUAACUUCGUGCCAGCCGCCGCCGUAA
This 445-nucleotide ribosomal RNA is filed under the name uncultured bacterium. Its description in RNAcentral is "bacterial SSU rRNA". It matches the Rfam family "Bacterial small subunit ribosomal RNA", at positions 29 to 523 of the family's 1533-position model. The record is from RNAcentral.